GGGUGGGUAGCUCAGCUGGAAGAGCAGCGGUCUCCAAAACCGCCGGUUGCAGGUUCGAAUCCUGUCUCACCUG
Molecule: transfer RNA, 73 nt
Filed under: Microbacterium ginsengisoli
Lineage: Bacteria; Bacillati; Actinomycetota; Actinomycetes; Micrococcales; Microbacteriaceae
Description: tRNA-Trp
Rfam family: tRNA
About the family: Transfer RNA (tRNA) molecules are approximately 80 nucleotides in length. Their secondary structure includes four short double-helical elements and three loops (D, anti-codon, and T loops).
Source: RNAcentral